This 35-nucleotide small RNA is filed under the name Arabidopsis thaliana (thale cress). RNAcentral's name for it is "ATSL308090". Lineage: Eukaryota; Viridiplantae; Streptophyta; Magnoliopsida; Brassicales; Brassicaceae. The record is from RNAcentral.
AUUCAGUUUGCUUUUUUUUUCUUCUUCUUGUUUUU